Molecule: ribosomal RNA, 253 nt
Filed under: uncultured bacterium
Lineage: Bacteria
Description: partial 16S ribosomal RNA
Rfam family: Bacterial small subunit ribosomal RNA
Source: RNAcentral
UACGUAGGGUGCGAGCGUUGUCCGGAAUCAUUGGGCGUAAAGAGCGUGUAGGCGGCCCGGUAAGUCCGCUGUGAAAGUCCAGGGCUCAACCCUGGGAUGCCGGUGGAUACUGUCGGGCUCGAGUCCGGAAGAGGAGACUGGAAUUCCUGGUGUAGCGGUGAAAUGCGCAGAUAUCAGGAGGAACACCAAUGGCGAAGGCAGCACUCUGGGACGUGACUGACGCUGAGACGCGAAAGCGUGGGGAGCAAACAGG